CCUACGGGUGGCAGCAGUGAGGAAUAUUGGUCAAUGGGCGCGAGCCUGAACCAGCCAAGUCGCGUGAGGGAGGACGGCCCUACGGGUUGUAAACCUCUUUUGCCGGGGAGCAACGGGCGUCACGUGUGGCGCCACUGAGUGUACCCGGAGAAAAAGCAUCGGCUAACUCCGUGCCAGCAGCGGCGGUAAGACGGGGGAUGCGAGGGUUAUCCGGAUUUGUUGGGUUUAAGGGGGGCGUAGGCGGAUCGUUAAGUCAGUGGUCAAAUUGAGGGGCUCAACCCCUUCCCGCCAUUGAAACUGGCGUUCUUGAGUGGAAGAGAAGUAUGCGGAAUGCGUGGUGUAGCGGUGAAAUGCAUAGAUAUCACGCAGAACCCCGAUUGCGAAGGCAGCAUGCCGGCUUCCGACUGACGCUGAAGCACGAAAGCGUGGGGAUCGAACAGGAUUAGAUACCCCAGUAGUC
Molecule: ribosomal RNA, 460 nt
Filed under: uncultured bacterium
Lineage: Bacteria
Description: partial 16S ribosomal RNA
Rfam family: Bacterial small subunit ribosomal RNA
Source: RNAcentral